GAUGAACGCUGGCGGCGUGCCUAAUACAUGCAAGUCGAGCGAACAGACGAGGAGCUUGCUCCUCUGACGUUAGCGGCGGACGGGUGAGUAACACGUGGAUAACCUACCUAUAAGACUGGGAUAACUUCGGGAAACCGGAGCUAAUACCGGAUAAUAUAUUGAACCGCAUGGUUCAAUAGUGAAAGACGGUUUUGCUGUCACUUAUAGAUGGAUCCGCGCCGCAUUAGCUAGUUGGUAAGGUAACGGCUUACCAAGGCGACGAUGCGUAGGCGACCUGAGAGGGUGAUAGCCCACACUGGAACUGAGCCACGGUCCAGACGCCUACGGGAGGCAGCAGUAGGGAAUCUUCCGCAAUGGGCGAAAGCCUGACGGAGCAACGCCGCGUGAGUGAUGAAGGUCUUCGGAUCGUAAAACUCUGUUAUUAGGGAAGAACAAAUGUGUAAGUAACUAUGCACGUCUUGACGGUACCUAAUCAGAAAGCCACGGCUAACUACGUG
RNAcentral lists this ribosomal RNA (497 nucleotides) under uncultured bacterium. RNAcentral's name for it is "partial 16S ribosomal RNA". It matches the Rfam family "Bacterial small subunit ribosomal RNA", at positions 28 to 507 of the family's 1533-position model. The record is from RNAcentral.